CGCACAUUGCGCCCUUUGGUAUUCCGAGGGGCAUGCCUGUUCGAGCGUCAUUUCCACCCUCAGGCCCUGUUAGCCUGGCGUUGGGGCUUCUGUAGGCCAGUCCCUGCAGGCCCUCAAGACCAGUGGCGGGCUCGCCUGUAACCCCGAGCGCAGUAGUUUCUCCUCGCUCAGCGGGCUCCAGGCGGGUUUGGCCGUUAAACCCCCUAAUUUUUUAAAAGGUUGACCUCGGAUCAGGUAGGGAUACCCGCUGAACUUAA
This 257-nucleotide unclassified non-coding RNA is filed under the name Lasiosphaeriaceae sp. Its description in RNAcentral is "partial contains 5.8S ribosomal RNA, internal transcribed spacer 2, and large subunit ribosomal RNA". Lineage: Eukaryota; Fungi; Ascomycota; Sordariomycetes; Sordariales; Lasiosphaeriaceae. The record is from RNAcentral.